RNAcentral lists this ribosomal RNA (253 nucleotides) under uncultured bacterium. RNAcentral describes it as "partial 16S ribosomal RNA". It matches the Rfam family "Bacterial small subunit ribosomal RNA", at positions 524 to 776 of the family's 1533-position model. The record is from RNAcentral.
UACGGGGGGGGCAAGCGUUGUUCGGAAUUACUGGGCGUAAAGGGUUUGUAGGUGGCUUGUUAAGUCAGACGUGAAAUCCCUCAGCUUAACUGGGGAACUGCGUCUGAUACUGGCGAGCUUGAGUGCAGGAGAGGAACGCGGAAUUCCAGGUGUAGCGGUGAAAUGCGUAGAUAUCUGGAGGAACACCGGUGGCGAAGGCGGCGUUCUGGACUGCAACUGACACUGAGAAACGAAAGCCAGGGUAGCAAACGGG